UUAAUUAAUUUAAUAAUUGUCUCAGACUGCAUACUUCAGACAGCGUUCACAGGUGGCUUCGGCGGGCGCGGGCCCGGGGGCGGAUGCCCCCCGGCGGCCGUGAGGCGGGCCCGCCGAAGCAACAAGGUACGAUAAACACGGGUGGGAGGUUGGACCCAGAGGGCCCUCACUCGGUAAUGAUCCUUCCGCAGGUUCACCUACGGAAA
RNAcentral lists this unclassified non-coding RNA (206 nucleotides) under uncultured fungus. RNAcentral describes it as "sequence contains ITS1". The record is from RNAcentral. Lineage: Eukaryota; Fungi.